RNAcentral lists this ribosomal RNA (499 nucleotides) under uncultured bacterium. Its description in RNAcentral is "bacterial SSU rRNA". It matches the Rfam family "Bacterial small subunit ribosomal RNA", at positions 899 to 1397 of the family's 1533-position model. The record is from RNAcentral.
ACUCAAAGGAAUUGACGGGGGCCCGCACAAGCAGCGGAGCAUGUGGUUUAAUUCGAAGCAACGCGAAGAACCUUACCAGGGCUUGACAUCCCUCUGACCGGUAUAGAGAUAUACCCUCCCUUCGGGGCAGAGGAGACAGGUGGUGCAUGGUUGUCGUCAGCUCGUGUCGUGAGAUGUUGGGUUAAGUCCCGCAACGAGCGCAACCCCUAUUUCUAGUUGCCAGCAUUUCGGAUGGGCACUCUAGAGAGACUGCCGGGGAUAACUCGGAGGAAGGUGGGGACGACGUCAAAUCAUCAUGCCCCUUAUGUCCUGGGCUACACACGUGCUACAAUGGCCAGUAACAAAGGGACGCGAAGCGGUAACGUGGAGCAAAUCCCAUAAAACUGGUCCCAGUUCGGAUUGUGGGCUGCAACCCGCCCACAUGAAGUCGGAGUUGCUAGUAAUCGCGAAUCAGCAUGUCGCGGUGAAUGCGUUCCCGGGCCUUGCACACACCGCCCGU